GAUGAACGCUGGCGGCGUGCCUAAUACAUGCAAGUCGAGCGAACAGACGAGGAGCUUGCUCCUCUGACGUUAGCGGCGGACGGGUGAGUAACACGUGGUCAACCUACCUCUAAGACUGGGAUAACUUUGGGAAACCGGAGCUAAUACCCGAUAAUAUAUUGCAUCUCAUUGUUCACUAGUGAAAGUAGGUUUUUCUGUCACUUAUAGAUGGAUCCGCAGCGCAUUAGCUAGUUGGUAAGGUAAAGGCUUACCAAAGCGACGAUGCGUACACGGCCUGAGAGGGUGAUCGGCCACACUGGAACUGAGGAACAGUCCAGACUCCUACAGUAGGCAGCAGUAGGGAAUCCUCCGGAAUGGACGAGAGCCUGACAGAGCAACGUCGCGUGAGUGAUGAAGGUCUUCGGAUCGGAGAACUCUGUUGUUAGGGAAGAUCAAAUGUGUAUGUAACUAGGCACGUCUUGACGGUACCGAAUCAGAAAGCCACGGCUAACUACGUG
RNAcentral lists this ribosomal RNA (497 nucleotides) under uncultured bacterium. RNAcentral describes it as "partial 16S ribosomal RNA". It matches the Rfam family "Bacterial small subunit ribosomal RNA", at positions 28 to 507 of the family's 1533-position model. The record is from RNAcentral.